Molecule: long non-coding RNA, 1278 nt
Filed under: Serinus canaria (Common canary)
Lineage: Eukaryota; Metazoa; Chordata; Aves; Passeriformes; Fringillidae
Description: lncRNA (ENSSCAG00000013959.1)
Source: RNAcentral
AUGGAAGUUCCCUCCUGGGAAGGGAGGGAUGUGCAUCCCCCAGUUCUCCUCAGCCACUGGUGCUGCCAGACUCCCUCCUUUGCCCCAGCUUUCCUUCCUUCAACUCUCCUAUAUCCCCUGACCAUCCUUUGGACCACCUUGACCCCUCUGGCUGCUCUUGGACCUCCCAGAGUAUCCCUCAAACAUCCCCUGCAUUCUCUGCCUCCUCCAAACACCACCUGGCCUGUUCCCUCCCAAACUCUGGUGUCUGCACCUGCCAUCCCAGUUUCUUCUGUAUCCCUUUCUCUCCAUCCCAAUCUCCUGUAUCCCUUUCUGCCAUCCCAAUCCCUUCAUGUCCCUUUCUCCCAACCCAGUCUUUCCUAUAUCCCUUUCUCUUCAUCCCAAUCUCUCCUGUAUCCCUUUCUGCCAUCCCAACUCUCCCAAUCCCUCCAUCACCUUUCUCCCAUCCCAGUCUGUCCGUGUCCCUUUCUCCCAUCCCAGUCUCUCCUGUAUCCCUUUCUGCCAUCCCAAUCCCUUCACGUCCUUUUCUCCCAUCCCAAUCUCUCCUCGAUCCCUUUCUACCAUCCCAAUCUCUCCCAAUCCCUCCAUCCCCUCUCUCCCAUCCCAGUCUCUCCUGUAUCCCUUUCUGCCAGUAUCCCAGUUCUCUCCUGUGUUCCUUUUUUCCAUCCCAGUCUCUUCUGUGUUCCUUUCUCCAAUCCCAGUCUGUCCAUGUCCCUUUCUCCCAUCCCAAUCUCCCUUGAAUCCCCCUCUCCCACCCCAGUCUUUCCUGUAUCCCUUUCUCCCACCCCACUCCUCUCCCAAUCCCUCAUGUCCCUCUCUCCCAUCCCUGUCUCUCCUGUGUCCCCUUCUCCCAUCCCAAUCCCCCCAUCCCCUUUCUCCCAUCCCAAUCUCUCGUGUAUCUUUUUCUGCCAUCCCAAUCUCUCCCAAUCCUUCCAUCCCCUUUCUCCCAUCCCAGUCUCUCCUGUGUCCCUUUCUCCCACCCCAAUCCCCCCAUCCCCUCUCUCCCACCCCAGUCUUUCCUGUAUCCCUUUCUCCCAUUCCAAUCUCUCAUGUAUCCCUUUCUCCCAUCCCAGUCUCUCCUGUAUCCCUUUCUGCCAGUAUCCCAGUUCUCUCCUGUGUNNNNNNNNNNNNNNNNNNNNUGGAUCCAGGAAUGUUUGGCUCCUCCCUGGGCAGAGCAUCUCCCAGUGGGAUGAUGGAAUUUUAUCAGCCAUGCAGGGACACUCACUGGCCCAUGAACAGAAGGUAAUUAAUAAUGAAUGGCCCAUUAACAGAAGAUAA